Small nucleolar RNA from Schistocerca serialis cubense, 127 nucleotides. RefSeq annotates it as small nucleolar RNA SNORA79. The record is from RefSeq and is a predicted model, not a curated record. NCBI's taxonomy places the organism in Eukaryota, Metazoa, Arthropoda, Insecta, Orthoptera, Acrididae. The transcript has a single exon.
UGGCAAUUGUUCCUCGUGCAGUCCUUUCAGUAACUGCAAGAUUUCAAAUUGCCAUAGAGCAAAUAUGGAUUGCUUCACCCAGAAUUGUUCUGUGUAACACUGUUUGGCUUUGCGGAUCCAUACAUUC